RNAcentral lists this ribosomal RNA (403 nucleotides) under bacterium. Its description in RNAcentral is "partial 16S ribosomal RNA". It matches the Rfam family "Bacterial small subunit ribosomal RNA", at positions 355 to 776 of the family's 1533-position model. The record is from RNAcentral.
UGGUGAAUAUUGCACAAUGGAGGGAACUCUGAUGCAGCGACGCCGCGUGAACGAAGAAGGCUUUCGAGUCGUAAAGUUCUUUUAUAUGGGAAGAUAAUGACGGUACCAUAAGAAAAAGCCCCGGCUAACUACGUGCCAGCAGCCGCGGUAAUACGUAGGGGGCUAGCGUUGUCCGGAAUCACUGGGCGUAAAGGGUUCGCAGGCGGAAAUGCAAGUCAGGUGUAAAAGGCAGUAGCUUAACUACUGUAAGCAUUUGAAACUGCAUAUCUUGAGAAGAGUAGAGGUAAGUGGAAUUUUUAGUGUAGCGGUGAAAUGCGUAGAUAUUAAAAAGAAUACCGGUGGCGAAGGCGACUUACUGGGCUCAUUCUGACGCUGAGGAACGAAAGCGUGGGUAGCAAACAGG